ACGUGUAGGCGGUUGGUUAAGUCGGAUGUGAAAGCCUGGGGCUCAGCCCCAGAAGUGCGAUCCGAAACUAUCCAGCUAGAGCGCGAUAGAGGAGGGUGGAAUUCCUGGUGUAGCGGUGAAAUGCGUAGAUAUCAGGAGGAACACCGGCGGCGAAGGCGGCCCUCUGGAUCGUUGCUGACGCUGAGACGCGAAAGCGUGGGGAGCAAACAGGAUUAGAUACCCUGGUAGUCCACGCCUUAAACGAUGGGUACUAGGUGUUCGGGGUGUUGACCCCCUGAGUGCCGCAGUUAACGCAUUAAGUACCCCGCCUGGGGACUACGGCCGCAAGGUUAA
Molecule: ribosomal RNA, 333 nt
Filed under: uncultured bacterium
Lineage: Bacteria
Description: bacterial SSU rRNA
Rfam family: Bacterial small subunit ribosomal RNA
Source: RNAcentral